Molecule: ribosomal RNA, 253 nt
Filed under: uncultured bacterium
Lineage: Bacteria
Description: partial 16S ribosomal RNA
Rfam family: Bacterial small subunit ribosomal RNA
Source: RNAcentral
UACGAAGGGUGCAAACGUUGCUCGGAAUCAUUGGGCGUAAAGCGCACGUAGGCGGCUUGCCAAGUCGGACGUGAAAUCCCUCAGCUCAACUGAGGACGUGCAUCCGAAACUGGCGAGCUUGAGUACUGAAGAGGAUCGCGGAAUUCCCGGUGUAGAGGUGAAAUUCGUAGAUAUCGGGAGGAACACCAGUGGCGAAGGCGGCCGGCUGGGGGUGACCUGACGCUGAGGCGCGAAAGCGUGGGGAGCGAACCGG